AGCGAACAGAAUCAAAGGUAGAGGUGAAAAUACAAGGUACAAGAAUUAUAAAAAAAUAGAUUGAAUUAGGGAUUAUUUCUAUUGCUAUUUGAAACAUUAUAAUUGUAUCAACAAAACCGAAUCAUAUUUGCAAGAGGUGUCACACGGAUUCAGAAACUAAAUUUCUUUGAUCAGGCUAAAAACUAGCUGAUUUGCAUCGAAUUGGUGGAAGAAAUCCGAACAUAGUGCGACACUACACUGAGAGAAAUAAUUAGUAAAUAUAACGAAUUUUUUGGUAAAUACUACCAAUCUAUAGUCAUUUUCGACCGUACUAAUAAACACAUAUGUCAAGCAGAACCAUGAUUCGGAAGCCCAAUAUCGGCUACAUUUUCUCGCCGAAAAUGCACGUAUCAGAAUUAUAUCCUUAUUAUACCUCCGUAUU
Toxorhynchites rutilus septentrionalis is the source of this 421-nucleotide long non-coding RNA. RefSeq lists it as uncharacterized. The record is from RefSeq and is a predicted model, not a curated record. NCBI's taxonomy places the organism in Eukaryota, Metazoa, Arthropoda, Insecta, Diptera, Culicidae. The transcript has 3 exons.